GCAUCGGUGGUUCAGUGGUAGAAUGCUCGCCUGCCACGCGGGCGGCCAGGGUUCGAUUCCCGCGGCCGAUGCA
RNAcentral lists this transfer RNA (73 nucleotides) under Cordylochernes scorpioides. Its description in RNAcentral is "tRNA-Gly". It matches the Rfam family "tRNA". From Rfam's summary of the family: Transfer RNA (tRNA) molecules are approximately 80 nucleotides in length. Their secondary structure includes four short double-helical elements and three loops (D, anti-codon, and T loops). The record is from RNAcentral. Lineage: Eukaryota; Metazoa; Arthropoda; Arachnida; Pseudoscorpiones; Chernetidae.